AAGGCAAAGAGGCGCGGCUGGAAGAACCAGACUGAGAAAGUGCCACAGGGCGGGGGCCGCAUCCGCCCCUCGGCUUCUGGUUACUGACCCGACGGCUUUGUGAGUGAAAGUGAAGAGACACUUCGAGGCAGGAGGUCCUGGAACCAAUCCCCUCUGAUACUGAGAGACAACUAUUACACAAGAGAAAUAUUCUACCAUUCACAAAAUCUCGUUUAAGUGUUGUGAAAUACAAACACCAGGGAAUCAAGAACUUUAGAAAAUUGUGGCUGUGUUCCCAUAUGUGGUACAAAGAACCAGUGAGUCCCAUUUGUUGUGGUUCCUGCAUUCGAUGACUCCAGAUGUGCCACCACCGAGCUAGUCUUAUGACAACCUAGAAGGCAAAUUGGGAGAUAUGAACAAAAACAUUGAAAACAACAUAAAUGCCCUUCAACCAAGGAAUGGAGAAAUCACGACAUGUUAAUCCAAGAAAAUGCUAAGUAGUUGCUAAGGAUUAAUGAGCAUGGAUAAAUCUCAGCAACAUAAUACUGAAGG
Molecule: long non-coding RNA, 531 nt
Organism: Homo sapiens (human)
Lineage: Eukaryota; Metazoa; Chordata; Mammalia; Primates; Hominidae
Gene: SEPTIN7-DT
Product: SEPTIN7 divergent transcript
Source: Ensembl